This 1604-nucleotide long non-coding RNA is filed under the name Saimiri boliviensis boliviensis (Bolivian squirrel monkey). RNAcentral describes it as "lncRNA (ENSSBOG00000036686.1)". The record is from RNAcentral. Lineage: Eukaryota; Metazoa; Chordata; Mammalia; Primates; Cebidae.
GUGCACCACUACUCCCAGCUAAUUUUUUAUUUUUAGUAGAUACAGGGUUUCACUUAUUGUCCAGGAUGGUCUCCAUCUCUUCGCCUUGUGAUCCACCCGCCUCGGCCUCCCAAAGUGUUGGAAUUACGGCGUGAGCCACCGCGCCCAGCCGAGGGACACCUCUUUCAAAAUAAAAGAAAGGGGCCGAGUGCGGUGGCUCACGCCUGUAAUCCCAACACUUCAGGAGGUGGUGGCGGGUGGAUCACUUGAGGUCAAGAGUUCAAGACAAGCCUGGGCGUGGUGGCGCCCGCCUGUAAUCCCAGCUACUCGGGAGGCUGAAGCAGGAGAAUCGCUUGAACCCGGGAGGCAGAGGUUGCAGUGAGCCGAGAUCGUGCCACUGCAACCUGCCUGCCAACAGAGCGAGACUGUCUCAAAAAAAUAUCUAAAUAUCCCUCUAGGAGACUUUGUCUUGGCCUUUUCUUCAUUCCAGCAGUGUUCACAUUGUGUACUGACUUUCGCUUGCUCAUCUGUCUUCUCGGAGGUCGGGGACCCUGUGUGUCUGCUCACCGUCUAACCCCAGGUUAGCCUGUGGCUGAUGCUCACUAAUCAUUUGGCAGAAGGAAGGAACGAGGCGAGGGAGCUGUGGGAGGAGGCGCUGCCCAGCGAGCCGAGCGCCGAGGGCGGGGCGCACGGGGAGGGCGGGGCCCACGCCGAGGGCGGGAGCUCUGCUCAGGCUUCGGUAAGGUCGUGUCAGCUGACUUGGCUUAUGGUAACCGAAUUUUUCACCUCCAUGGUUUCCCCAGGAUAUGAAUUGGGGGCUUAACCUCACCGACAAGGGUCAGGUGAGCUUUCUGGAUGCCGAGGCACCUUUCAGCCUGCGCCGCCUGAGGAGCUCGUCCCACUGCCCUGCCAUUUCUGUGAGGACCCACAAAGCCCGGGAGGAGCCUCGGAGCCCCCGCGGGUCCUCCCGCCACUGCCUAGAGAGGGUGCUCGGAGCACUGCUCAGGAACUGGUCCCCAGCGAGGUGUCGAACCCCUCCUUGCUGGAACUCCACGGAGAGAGUGGACCCAUAUCCUGGAUGUGGACACCCACAGUCCUGCUAGGACGUGCUUCCAGAAGAAUUGAUCCCAGCCAUGAAACUGCCGGAUGCCUUCAGUGAAGCAAGCAGGAAAGGCUCAAGUGAUCCUCCUGUAUCACUCUUGUGAGUAGCCAGUAGCUGGGACCACAGAUACACACCACCACACCUGCCUAAUUUUUUUUUUUUUUUUUGUAGAGACGGGUUUCGUCAUGUUGCCCAGGCUGGUCUGGAACUCCCGACCAAUGCACCUGCCUCAGUCUCCCAAAGUGCUAGGAUUACAGGUGUGAGCCAAUUUGUGAUCUUUUAUGCAUUCUUUAAUGUAGUAUGUUUUCAAGCUUCAUCCAACUUGGAGAGUAUUAAUGCUGAAUAAUAUCCCAUUGUGUAGCUUUUUUUUUUUUUUUUUUUUUUUUUUUUGAGAGAAGACUCGCACUGUCGCCCAGGCUGUAGUACAGUGGUGCGAUCUUGGCUCACUGCAGCGUCUGCCUCCUGAGUUCAAGCAAUUCUCCUGCCUCCGCCUCCCGAGUACUGGGACUACAGGCGUGCGCCA